RNAcentral lists this ribosomal RNA (283 nucleotides) under uncultured bacterium. Its description in RNAcentral is "partial 16S ribosomal RNA". It matches the Rfam family "Bacterial small subunit ribosomal RNA", at positions 123 to 406 of the family's 1533-position model. The record is from RNAcentral.
AACCUUCCUACAAGUGGGGAAUAGCCCAGAGAAAUUUGGAUUAAUACCCCGUAACAUAACGAUGUGGCAUCACACUGUUAUUAUAGCUUCGGCGCUUGUUGAUGGGUGUGCGGCUGAUUAGGUAGUUGGCGGGGUAACGGCCCACCAAGCCUUCGAUCAGUAGCUGAUGUGAGAGCAUGAUCAGCCACACGGGCACUGAGACACGGGCCCGACUCCUACGGGAGGCAGCAGUAAGGAAUAUUGGACAAUGGGCGCAAGCCUGAUCCAGCCAUGCCGCGUGAAG